Coffea arabica (coffee) is the source of this 491-nucleotide non-coding RNA. NCBI's taxonomy places the organism in Eukaryota, Viridiplantae, Streptophyta, Magnoliopsida, Gentianales, Rubiaceae. The record is from RefSeq and is a predicted model, not a curated record.
UUCUUGGUUUGAAUAAGCUCUAUGAGUCGAAAUCCUAUGAUCCGUUCUUUCUGUCUGCCCAUUGUUUGAAUAACUAUUCCUACUUUUUGUGCUUCCCUUUGAGUCACCAAUAUCCAUCUCCACAAUUUUUAUGUUCUCUUCCAUUCCUUUUUCAAAAUCCUGCAAGUGUAUAUUGGCAGAUUAGAUUUUUCUUUCAAAAUUCAGUAGACAAACUUCAAGAAGAUGAAUCUGACAGAUAUUUAUAAAUGACAUGAUUGGUGGAUCACAGAGGUUCUCCCCGAUGCCGCAGCAGUCAAUUGAAUCACAGCGGCAGCAACCUUUGCCGCUGCAGCUGCUGCAUCAGCAGCUGCGGCCGUGGCAACUGCGACUGCCAAGGCAUGUUUGUUCUGAUCAGCGUCUGCUUCCAGGAAUGCCUGUUGAGAUGGUGGUGUUGUGGCCAUCAUAUCCGUUGAAUUGGAGUCCUUCUGGCCUGGUGCAGUGGCUGAUGACCU